Molecule: ribosomal RNA, 710 nt
Filed under: uncultured bacterium
Lineage: Bacteria
Description: bacterial SSU rRNA
Rfam family: Bacterial small subunit ribosomal RNA
Source: RNAcentral
GAGGGGCAGCAUAGUCUUCGGACUGAUGGCGACUGGCGGACGGGUGCGUAACGCGUAUGCAACUUACCUACAACAGGGGGAUAGCCCGUGGAAACAUGGAUUAAUACCCCAUAAAACAGGGGUACUGCAUGGUACUACUUGUUAAAGAUUUAUCGGUUGUAGAUGGGCAUGCGUCUGAUUAGCUAGUUGGUAGUGUAAAGGACUACCAAGGCGACGAUCAGUAGGGGUUCUGAGAGGAUGAUCCCCCACACUGUCACUGAGAUACGGGCCAGACUCCUACGGGAGGCAGCAGUAGGGAAUAUUGGUCAAUGGGCGAGAGCCUGAACCAGCCAUGCCGCGUGCAGGAAGACGGCCUUCUGGGUUGUAAACUGCUUUUAUCAAGGAAGAAAAUAGUCCUGCGGGGCAAAUUGACUGUACUUGAGGAAUAAGCACCGGCUAACUACGUGCCAGCAGCCGCGGUAAUACGUAGGGUGCGAGCGUUGUCCGGAUUUAUUGGGUUUAAAGGGUGCGUAGGCGGCCUGAUAAGUCAGUGGUGAAAUCCUGCAGCUCAACUGUAGAUGUGCCAUUGAUACUGUCAGGCUUGAGUACAGGCGAGGUAGGCGGAAUUUAUGGUGUAGCGGUGAAAUGCAUAGAUACCAUAAAGAACACCGAUAGUGAAGACAGCUUACUAGGCUGUAACUGACGCUGAGGCACGAAAGCGUGGGGAUCGA